GAUGAACGCUGGCGGCGUGCUUAACACAUGCAAGUCGAACGGGCUCUUCGGAGCUAGUGGCGGACGGGUGAGUAACGCGUGAGAAUCUGCCUACAGGACGGGGACAACAGUUGGAAACGACUGCUAAUACCCGAUGUGCCGAGAGGUGAAACAUUUAUGGCCUGUAGAUGAGCUCGCGUCUGAUUAGCUAGUUGGUGGGGUAAGGGCCUACCAAGGCGACGAUCAGUAGCUGGUCUGAGAGGAUGAUCAGCCACACUGGGACUGAGACACGGCCCAGACUCCUACGGGAGGCAGCAGUGGGGAAUUUUCCGCAAUGGGCGCAAGCCUGACGGAGCAACGCCGCGUGGGGGAGGAAGGUUUUUGGACUGUAAACCCCUUUUCUCAGGGAAGAAGAAAGUGACGGUACCUGAGGAAUAAGCCUCGGCUAAUUCCGUGCCAGCAGCCGCGGUAAUACGGGAGAGGCAAGCGUUAUCCGGAAUUAUUGGGCGUAAAGCGUCCGCAGGCGGUUAAUCAAGUCUGUUGUCAAAGCGUGGGGCUCAACCUCAUACAGGCAAUGGAAACUGAUUGACUAGAGUAUGGUAGGGGUAGCGGGAAUUCCAGGUGUAGCGGUGAAAUGCGUAGAUAUCUGGAAGAACACCAGCGGCGAAAGCGCGCUACUGGGCCAUAACUGACGCUCAUGGACGAAAGCUAGGGGAGCGAAAGGGAUUAGAUACCCCUGUAGUCCUAGCCGUAAACGAUGAACACUAGGUGUUGCGUGAAUCGACCCGCGCAGUGCCGUAGCCAACGCGUUAAGUGUUCCGCCUGGGGAGUACGCACGCAAGUGUGAAACUCAAAGGAAUUGACGGGGGCCCGCACAAGCGGUGGAGUAUGUGGUUUAAUUCGAUGCAACGCGAAGAACCUUACCAGGGUUUGACAUCCCCCGAAUCUCUUGGAAACGAGAGAGUGCCUUCGGGAGCGGGGAGACAGGUGGUGCAUGGCUGUCGUCAGCUCGUGUCGUGAGAUGUUGGGUUAAGUCCCGCAACGAGCGCAACCCACGUUUUUAGUUGCCAUCAUUCAGUUGGGCACUCUAGAGAAACUGCCGGUGACAAACCGGAGGAAGGUGUGGACGACGUCAAGUCAUCAUGCCCCUUACAUCCUGGGCUACACACGUACUACAAUGCUCCGGACAGCGAGACGCGAAGCCGCGAGGUGAAGCAAAUCUCCCAAACCGGGGCUCAGUUCAGAUUGCAGGCUGCAACUCGCCUGCAUGAAGGCGGAAUCGCUAGUAAUCGCAGGUCAGCAUACUGCGGUGAAUACGUUCCCGGGCCUUGUACACACCGCCCGUCACACCAUGGAAGUUGGCCAUGCCCGAAGUCGUUACCCUAACCGUUCGCGGAGGGGGGCGCCGAAGGUAGGGCUGAUGACUGGGGUG
This 1411-nucleotide ribosomal RNA is filed under the name Synechococcus elongatus PCC 7942 = FACHB-805. RNAcentral's name for it is "bacterial SSU rRNA". It matches the Rfam family "Bacterial small subunit ribosomal RNA". RNAcentral also lists the same sequence under 1 other name. The record is from RNAcentral. Lineage: Bacteria; Bacillati; Cyanobacteriota; Cyanophyceae; Synechococcales; Synechococcaceae.